Hyla sarda is the source of this 1940-nucleotide RNA transcript. RefSeq lists it as uncharacterized. The transcript is spliced from 12 exons. NCBI's taxonomy places the organism in Eukaryota, Metazoa, Chordata, Amphibia, Anura, Hylidae. The record is from RefSeq and is a predicted model, not a curated record.
CAGUCCCGUCCUGAAAAACUAAAACACCCAUCUGUUUAACACAAAGGCUGCUGGCUUUUACAGAAGUAUUUCCAGCAGUCAUGGUGUUACGCGGCCACAGGUAUACCCCCCUAUAUGAUGACUUAGUGGCAGGACAUUAGUGACAGUGUAAGUACUAUACUUAUACAAGAUUCCUGUCCCUGUGCGAUCAGCCAGGAGAGGGUUAAACUGUGCAGGCUCCAUGUGCUUGGUGCGCUCUACAGGAAAAUGUCCUCCAUCAAUCACAGGGGUCAUCCCUUCACUGGCAGAGGGAGGGGAGACAUCUGGGCAAGCUCACAGGCCCCGGGGGUGGGGCAGGGCCGGGCAUGGACUGCCUAUGCUGUCCGGUGUGAGCUCAUCCGCCGGAAGACGUCGGCCCGCCCCUUAGUUUCGCGCCUAGAAGUAAAGAGGCGCGGUAGUCUGCAGGGUCUGCGCGGGAAGGCGCCCUUUUGUUACAGGAGCGGCAAGACACAGGAAGGAACUGCCAGAGUAAAAGGAAAUCCCUAUAGCAAACAUAUGCUGUUCUGUGAAUUUAUCAUUCUCUUCAGAAUAUCCUCAAUGGAAAAUUCAAAAAGAAGAAAAAGGAGUAAACCUCCUAAAGGGACUUUAGAGGAAACAUUCAGUAUAAGAAGCAGGCGAGGUAAACGUAAAGCUGAAAGAUUUAAACCUGCUUACAAAAAGAAAAAAAUCUCUAAACAACUAAAAGAAAAACAGGAAAAUCAGCUGGUUAAAGAGAGAAGGGGAAAAAAGUAUGCAGCAGAAAAGAAGAUCAAAGAGUCUAUCAAGGAUAGAAAGUCUUCAGAGACGAUGCAAAAUGAAUUAGAGUUUACAAAGGAUCACAUGUCAAAUGACCUUGAAGCUAAAGAAAUUCAAGAUACUUCCACCACCGAACUGUUUUCCAGAAAAAUAAAUCACACUGGUGAAUUGUUGAAAGCAGAUGAGAAGGAACAUGUAGAAGCAACUGUUUGCAGGCAGCCUGACAGUGGAAGUCAAAGUGGACGUGUUACACGCCAGACAAGAGCAGUUCGAUUUGUUGGACACGUGAAACCAGUUGCUUAUGAUUUGGAUGUCACAGAUACUGAAUCUGGUGCUGAAGAAGAAAACUGUUCAGCUGAAGGUGAUGAGCCCAGUGUUAGUUCAGCUGGAGCUGGAGAAAAAUGCCGUCACCCGGUCUCUAAGGCUAUGCAGGUCCUGCCGCAGGAGCCCUACAUCCUCCUGCACCUGGCCCAUGAGGGACGUGCUGCUGGUCUGGUUUGCGAGAGAGAAUUAUUGAAACGAUGUUCAAUAACUUUUGAUCCUGAAACGAGAAGUGAUAAACUUUUAGAAUGUAUUGCCCAAAGUGAAAUGAGCACAUUUCUUGGAGAUGAAUCCUGCAAGUCUUGGUUUAACUUAAACAAUUGUAUAUUUAACACUGGAAAGAUGAUUAUCGCUCCAAAAAAGAAGAGCCAAAGACGCAUUCUUCUUUUAGAUAUUUUGAUUUACUAUGUUGAAAAGGGCAAGGUACAACUUAAUUUGCACAAGUCAGAACACAUUUUAAAGGAUGGAGACUUCUUUUUUGUUCCUCCAGGUUAGCUGAUGUGUAUACUCGUAGAUAUGCCGAUGUUGAGAUGGAAAAAAUUCAGAGACAUAACAAAGAUGAAAACAGCACGGUAACUGCUACUCCAUAGCCAAUCUUCAGGACACAGAAGCAGUGCUGGUCUUUAAUUGUAUAAAAGUAUGAAAAUCUACAGAUUAAAGUCAUUUUGGAAUAUGUUUUAUUGUAUGCACCUAACAGAUAUUUGUAAUAUUACUAUAAUGUAGAUGUUAAUAUUAUAAGCAAUAUAGAAUAAAUAAGCAGGGACAUUAAAGGAGUACUCAGGUGGAAAACUUUUUGUUAUUUUUUUUAUUUAUUUUUAUAUCAACUGGUGUCAGAAAAUUAAACA